GCGCACCAGGCGAGAAUCCUUCGCAAUGCGGGAAACCGCGACGAGGGGACUCCCAGUGCCUACGCUCAGCGUAGGCUGUUCCCGAGCCUAGAAAGCUCGGGGAGUAAGGGCUGGGUAAGACGGGUGCCAGCCGCCGCGGUAAUACCCGCAGCCCGAGUGGUGGCCACUAUUAUUGGGCCUAAAGCGUCCGUAGCCGGCCCGGUAAAUGCCUGGGUAAAUCGUGAGGCCUAACCUCACGAAUUCCGGGUAGACUGCCGGGCUAGGGACCGGAGGAGGGAGAGGGUACGUCCAGGGGUAGGGGGUGGAAAAGUCCUGUAAUCCCUGGAGGACCACCGGUGGCGAAGGCGCUCUCCUAGGACGGGUCCGACGGUGAGGGACGAAAGCCAGGGGAGCGAACCGGAUUAGAUACCCGCGUAGU
This 418-nucleotide ribosomal RNA is filed under the name uncultured microorganism. RNAcentral's name for it is "bacterial SSU rRNA". It matches the Rfam family "Archaeal small subunit ribosomal RNA", at positions 330 to 745 of the family's 1478-position model. The record is from RNAcentral.